UACGUAGGGUGCGAGCGUUGUCCGGAAUUACUGGGCGUAAAGAGCUCGUAGGUGGUUUGUCACGUCGUCUGUGAAAUUUCCGGGGCUUAACCUCGGGCGUGCAGGCGAUACGGGCAAUACUUGAGUGCUGUAGGGAGACUGGAAUUCCUGGUGUAGCGGUGAAAUGCGCAGAUAUCAGGAGGAACACCAAUGGCGAAGGCAGGUCUCUGGGCAGUCACUGACGCUGAGGAGCGAAAGCAUGGGUAGCGAACAGGGAUUUAGA
Molecule: ribosomal RNA, 262 nt
Filed under: uncultured prokaryote
Description: partial 16S ribosomal RNA
Rfam family: Bacterial small subunit ribosomal RNA
Source: RNAcentral